RNAcentral lists this ribosomal RNA (253 nucleotides) under uncultured bacterium. RNAcentral describes it as "partial 16S ribosomal RNA". It matches the Rfam family "Bacterial small subunit ribosomal RNA", at positions 524 to 776 of the family's 1533-position model. The record is from RNAcentral.
UACGAAGGGGGCUAGCGUUGUUCGGAAUUACUGGGCGUAAAGCGCACGUAGGCGGAAUGUUAAGUCAGGGGUGAAAUCCCGGGGCUCAACCCCGGAACUGCCUUUGAUACUGGCAUUCUCGAGUCCGGAAGAGGUGAGUGGAAUUCCGAGUGUAGAGGUGAAAUUCGUAGAUAUUCGGGGGAACACCAGUGGCGAAGGCGGCUCACUGGUCCGGUACUGACGCUGAGGCGCGAAAGCUAGGGGAGCAAACAGG